GAAAGGCGGCUUUUUUGGUCUGUAACUGACGGUGAGGCGCGAAAAGCGUGGGGGAGCAAAACAGGAUUAGAUACCCCUGGUAGUCCACGCCGUAAAACGAUGAGUGCUAAAGUGUUAGAGGGGUUUCCGCCCUUUUAGUGCUGCAGCUAACGCAUUAAGCACUCCGCCUGGGGAGUACGGUCGCAAGACUGAAACUCAAAGGAAUUGACGGGGGCCCGCACAAGCGGUGGAGCAUGUGGUUUAAUUGAAGCAACGCGAAGAACCUUACCAGGUCUUGACAUCCUCUGACAACUCUAGAGAUAGAGCGUUCCCCUUCGGGGGACAGAGUGACAGGUGGUGCAUGGUUGUCGUCAGCUCGUGUCGUGAGAUGUUGGGUUAAGUCCCGCAACGAGCGCAACCCUUGAUCUUAGUUGCCAGCAUUUAGUUGGGCACUCUAAGGUGACUGCCGGUGACAAACCGGAGGAAGGUGGGGAUGACGUCAAAUCAUCAUGCCCCUUAUGACCUGGGCUACACACGUGCUACAAUGGAUGGUACAAAGGGCUGCAAGACCGCGAGGUCAAGCCAAUCCCAUAAAACCAUUCUCAGUUCGGAUUGUAGGCUGCAACUCGCCUACAUGAAGCUGGAAUCGCUAGUAAUCGCGGAUCAGC
RNAcentral lists this ribosomal RNA (647 nucleotides) under Bacillus sp. (in: firmicutes). RNAcentral describes it as "bacterial SSU rRNA". It matches the Rfam family "Bacterial small subunit ribosomal RNA", at positions 717 to 1353 of the family's 1533-position model. Lineage: Bacteria; Bacillati; Bacillota; Bacilli; Caryophanales; Bacillaceae. The record is from RNAcentral.